AGUAAAUCAUACUUUUGUCAAAUAGUUCUGUGGGUUCUUUGAGUAUUUACAAAAAAGAUUCAUUCAUUUGGUUCAUAAUAUUUGAGCUCUUGUCCACUUGCUGUGUACCUCAUACUUGUGUUAACUAAUUUUGUGGAUUUUUUGUAUGUUCGUUGAAAAAAUUCAGUUUUUCCAUAUUUACUAGUUUAAUUUUUGUGUCUAAAUUGCAAAAAAUGGAGUUUUCCCUACCUAUUUUUGUUGCUUCUUAUCACUUGUUUACUCAGGAUUGUACCUUUUCCUAUUUUGCUCUAAGCAUGUCCUUUUCUUGAGCCGAUUGUCUUUAUUUAUCUUUCUUUUUCUCUAUAUUUCUAAGAUUUUGUUACUUUUUUAACUAAUCCUAUGGGAUUUUGAAUGUAUUCAUAAUAAAAGAUUCAGUUUUUUAGUUACUCAUUUUCCUUCUUUUCUUUCUCAAUUGGAUAUGUAUUAAUGUUUCCUUUAUUUUUCUUGUUUUGCAUGGAAAUUCCAUCCAGAGUUCGAAUGGGAUUCGUUUCCUUUGCAUUUCUAAGAGGCCAAUGAGGCCUCUCUUUUCGAGUCAAACUUUGAGGGAAAAUUUUCAAAAGUUACCUCGUGGCAUACCGAAACCAAGGAGUCGAAAGCAGAAGAAAUGGAUCAAAGUCCUACGUUUGAAGCGGCCAAGAGACAAAAGUCUCAUCUGUUAUUUUUAUUUUAGUUUAUUUAUUGUUGUCUUUAUUUAUUUUAUUUAUUUUAUUUAUUCAUUUGGGUCUCAAAGCCAAAGUUGUAUUUAAUACAGGUGAUGUGAAACCUCGAGCCAAAAAAGGGCUCGAAAACAUAGAAUUAGGACAGGUUAAAGAAUGGGUCAAAAACCCAACUAGAUUAGGACAGGGUCGAUGGUUUGGGCUUAAAAGCCUAAAUUACUACUUCUCUCCUUUUUCUUUUUUCUAUUUUCUUACUUGCUUUACGUGUGCUUGGCGAACCUAGUUAAAUACUUAAUUAAGUCGAUAAAAAACUAGUUUUGCAUAAACACCAAAAUAUUCCUAAAAUCGCUUUUCUUUUAAAAAGAUAUAAACUUUUUCAAAGUUAAUCAAAAGACAAUUUUCAAACAAUCCGAAUAACCACAAGUUAGCGGACGUUUUAGGUGCCUAACACCUUCCUAAAACGUUAAUAGGAACCGCUUAUCUAGAAUCUCUUGAACAAUUUUUCUGUUUUGAAUCGUCUAAGUACAUUACAAAGGUUUCUUAAUUCCUUUUCAAAAUUAAGUGGCGACUCUCUUUCAACAAUCAAAAUUUUCGCAAAACAGAAAUGGUGACUCUGCUGGGGAUUUAUCGAACUAGGUUCUAUCCAAAUGUGUGAUUUCGUCUUUUGAUUAACUGUUUAUGUAUUUAUAUGUUUCUGUAAAAAUUUAACUAUCACAUCUCAUGGCAUAUCCCUGCAUAAUUUAAACUAUUUUGGGGUUUCGUGGAUGUCCCGGCCCCUGUUUUUCAAUUCCAAAAUGUGUAGGAAAUAUGAACGACUUAUUAGCACAUGAGUCAUUUGAUACUGUUCGUAUUUUCAAAACUUUAGUUGUCCGCUUGAGAACCAAUGUUCAAACGCACUUUAGACACCGAGGAUAGAACGAAACCAAAAACCUAUUUUAGGGAUAAGCCUAGGAUGACCCAGUACCCGAGAGGGGUAUUGGGCUCAUUAGAAAACCUGCCCUGUGUCUAUUGACCCCGAGUCAAUUAUAGAUGAAUCAUAUUUAUGUGUUGAAAAAAGUACAUGCUUGUCUAAUUCGAUCCAUUAUCCUUUGGUGUCCGAGAAAGGCUUAUCUUUGUCUGCUCUCAUGUAGGAUAUGACUCAACUACAUUCCCACGAAAAGUUUAAGAUGUUUACUAAACCUGAUGAUUUCUUGAAACUAUGGUGGGACCACAUGAGCGCAAAAGAGAAAAAGAUUAUUAGAACACACAUUGGGCAUCUUCUUUCUUUGAUCGAGAUGGACGCUUGGCCCAAAAUGAUCCAUGUACUAACAAAUUUUUGGGAUGAUCAAAAUAUGGUAUUUCGCUUUGGGGAUGUUGAAUUGACUACUACCAUUGAAGAGGUAUUGAUUUAUUAUGAGAGUAUGGAAAUGUGUUUUAAGAGAAGGGAGACACCUGAUAAGAAUAUUUUAGUCCCAGUUGUGUGAGGAUCGUCAAAAGAUCAAGGAGGUAUUUUUAACAGACGACGACACCUAGCUAGGAGAACGUGAUGGAGCAAAUAUCACUUUUCAUGAUUUGUAUAAUCGGUUUAGGAGAUUUAAUGCUUUUCAAAAAUUUGGGCAUAAAUAUGAGUCAGAAGCAAAAUGGAAGGAGACGAGAGCCUUUGCAUUUGCGGUAGAUUACUAGGAACCAUGGUGUUCCUACAAAGGGAAAAUAGCACAAUUCAACCGAGGGUUGUCUCAGUGACCCAUGCACUCUUCUUUGGAAUGGAGUACAAUUCUAAAAAAGUAUUCCACAACUUAGCUCCUAUGACUGUUGCCGACCUAUAUCGAGAUUUGGGAAGGUGUCAAGUUGAGAAUCGUUUCUUUCAAGGCUGCAACCUUAUAUUAUAAUAGUGGAUGAUGAUGCAUUUGGUGAAAAAUCCUAGAACGACACAACCUGAACACAAAACAAGGUGGAAUCUGCUAGAAUCGUACGACAUAUGGUUGUUUUUACAUAGGUUCAAAAGGGAAGCAUCUCAUGAAUUUUGGUUUAAGACUCUUGGAGAAUUAAGAGAUGAUGAUGUCCAAUGGCUCCUUAACUAUCUUUAUUCAGGGAAAUACAUUAUUCGAGAGGGCGAGUAGCCUUUUCUAGUGCUUUCGGGUCUCAGGGGAACCCGUCCCUACAAUCCUAGCAGAGUUCUUAGGCAAUUUGAGAUCAAGUAGGAGACACCUCAAAUCGAUUCUAUGCUCAGAUUCUUCACCAAAUAUGAUGAAAGCGAGCCCCCGCUUAAAGACUACAUGAUAAACGGAUGGAGAAGGAAAUGGUGGACGAAAGUCUCUUUUCAUAUAGGGUAUGAACCUAAAGUCAGUGACACUUACAAGGAGUGGUUAAAAAAGAGCCUUGUCAGAGCAUUGAUUUCGGGGCCGAACGUGCCCACUCGGGUUGUGGAUGUAGAAUUCAGGCAUCGGAUCCAAAUCUACAGGCUUCAGGAUGAAUUUUAGAAAAGUAAAAUCGCGCACCUAAAGAUACAUGUAGAAGAUUCUUUAAUAAUACAUAUGUUGAGGGAAGAGUUGAGAAGAGCUAGGCAAGAGGCUAAUGAUGCUAUUCAGUGUUUAAUCAAUCUGGAUGAUAGCAUGGCCUCUCAACUCGACAGUAUAGGAAAAAUGACUUACGACAGCAAGACACAAUUAUACGGGAGUCAUCUGAUCAUCAAUAGGUAUCAAAUAUCACAAGAGGUGAACAAGGUAAAGAAGGAAAAGACGGAUGAAGGAGCCUCCGGUAGCUAGUUUUUCUAUUUCCCCUGCGCGGGAACUUAUUUUCUUUCAUGUUAUUUCCCCUUUUUACUAAAGAUUGCAUCUCUCUUUUAUUUUUUAUUUUUUGUAGGUAUUUAUGCCCUUUUUCGUGUCUAUAUAAGUUUGGGGAUAAUGGAUUGACUUUACGGAAGCAUAUAUUUUCUUCAAAAUCGUUAGGCCUAAACCCUUGGCUAAAAAAGGGUCACCCAGUUAGGAUACACAAUAUUAUAAUGUUUUGUGUUAUAUAAUUGUCUUAGGUGCUUAUGUGUUUUUAUUUGGAUCAAAGAAAAGUUUAUCCGCUAUACUCCUAUGGAUGAAUUUGUCUAUGACUCAAACAACUUUAUGUGGUUAUUUCUUGUCCAAUAUUUUGCAUUACUUAUCACAUACGGAAACUAACACAUCUGCCUUUGAGUUGUUUUACUUAACAGAUAGUAGAAACUACUCCGUGUUGAUAUAAGCUAGAAAACAUCCCUACUUCACCUGGUCAUAAGCGCAUAAAAUCCCAUCCUCUGACCAUCAUUCAAUAGUGAGUGGAAAUAAUGAAGAAAAUGUAUUGACCAUCAGGGACAAUCUAAUAGUGGAACAGAAUGAGAUGAUUACAGAACUCGCAAGAAAGCUUGAAAUGCUUCAGGAGGAAAUAAAUCUUACUCGAGAUUUGGCUCACCUGGCCAUCACUGUUAAUGCUCCCGCUCUAGGAGGACACGGGACUCCACUCCAAAUCCCUUCCCUUAGUACGCUUAUUCUAAGGGAUUAACCAAAUAACAUAUUAUCCGUCUCUGCCCCUCCACUUGUCCAAAAUACCAAUCGUAAAAAUAACCCAGAAGCCUACCAUUCACAAAAUCCAUCUCUAACCCCACAAAACCCAUCUCUGAAUCUUUUCCCAAAUGCCCAGGACGCAUUUUUAAAUCAAGAAAAUUCAUUCCUAAAUCCAUAGGAUUCACUUCCAAACCCGCAAAAUCCAUCAAAUCAAUUCCCGAAUCCACCAAAUUUGUUUCCAAAUCCAUAAAAUUCUCCUCCAAUUCCACCAAACCACUCGCAAAUUCCAUAAAACCUUCCUAAAUUUCAAAAUGUCCUCCCCACCUACCAAAGAACUUCCUUUCAUCCACAAAAUCAAGCCUCCUUUCCAAAGCCCCCUUAUGCCAUCAUACCCCCCGACAUCUAUAAUCCCCUUCCUAAUCCUGAGAUGGAUCAUUAUAAAGAGAAGGAGAAAGAGUAGAGGACCGAGCCUGAAAUAAGGUUGCUAGCUAUGAAUGAAGAGAUCAUGAGGAUCAAAGAAUCUCAUGGAUUGAGGGACCACGAUGGUUUAGGGUACGAUGACUUAUGUGUUCACCCUGGAGUAGAUCUAACAAAAGGGUAAAGGUCCCCAAAUUUGAAGUAUUUGAUGGUGCUGGGAAGCCAAUGGCCCAUCUGAGGAAGUACUGUGAGCAACUGGUAGGGAUUAGAAAAAAUGAGGCAUUAUUGAUGUGCCUAUUCAACUGAAGUUUAAACGGUGAAGCCUUAGAGUGGUUCAUGUCUCAGUAGCCAAAAAAAUGGACUGGUUGGAAAGCAUUGGCCAAGGGUUUCCUCGACAGGUUCGCAUUUAACAUUAAAAUUGUCGUCCUGGACCGGUAUUCACUAGAUCGAAUCAAAUAGAAGAGUGAUGAGAGUUUUUGAGACUAUGCUUUUCGUUGAAGGAAAGAAGCUUCCAAAGUACAACCCCCCAUGUUCGAGGAAGAAAUGGUAUUUGUGUUCUCUCAUAUUCAAGAAGAAGAAUAUUAUACCAGGAUGGUGUCUGCUGUCAGGGAAACUUUUGCAGAUUUAGUAAAAAUUAGGGAAUCAUUGGAAGAAGGUAUUCAUACAGGAAAAAUUGCCAAGACCCUAACAUCAUUCGGAACUGCUACGUUCUCGAAGACAAAAAAGAGGAUCUAGGCACGGCUUCUGCUGAUUCUAUUGCAAAAAUAAAAAAAGAGGUUCAACUCUAGGAAUAUUUUCUCUUCUCCGCCAUCACUAAACUUUUAGAAUAUAUUCUACACCCAACCCUAAUACAAAGAUUCACUUCCAAAUGUCCAACCUCAGUACCAAGCUCCACUCCCAAAUAGUCAACCCCAGUACCAAACUCCACUCCCAAAUGUCUAAUCCUAAUUACAAGCUUCGUUGCCAAAUAUUUUUCCCCAAUGUCAAGUUCCACCACUGAAUUAUCAUCCUAAUGUCCAAUCCACUCUUCCAAACAUCUUAACAAACAUCCAAGAACCUCCAAAUUAUCAUCAGGUGCCUUCUCCUUCAAAUCAGAAUCAUUAUAACACUUCGCGUCCAAACAUAAAAAAGAAACCUCCCUGAAACUUCACGCCGCUUGCUGAAAUUCGCACCCAACUAUUUGAAAGAUUGAAGAAUGCUGGUCACUUACAAUCGAUCCAGCCAAAGCCUGUCAAUCCUAACUCCCAAUUUUAUCAUCCUGAUCGAAAUUGUGCCUAUCAUUCAGGAGCAGCAGGGCACAGUACCGAGGACUAUUUUAUCUUGAAACAUAGGAUCUAAGAUUUGAUUGAUCAAAAGGUCAUCACGCUUCAGUCACCGAUGCCAAAUGUCAAAAGUAACCCAUUUCCUAAUCAUGGGGGACCUAUAGUUAACAUGAUUGAAAUGGAAGGAGAAUGGGCAUCUGGCAAAACUAUUACUAAGGUGAAUUCAGAAGAGUGCAAAAGGGCAAAAGAGGUAGAAAAGAUAGAGAGAGUUGUGGCUGUCUUAAGUGUCAAUGAGAAAGCCUUAUUUAUAGUGAUGAUGGCCCCGAUCCAAGUCUACACUCCCCCACAAAGGAAGGAAUUUAUUGUAUAGACCGCUGAUGCCCAAGGGAUAACGCGAUCUGGAUGAUGCUACAUCCUUAAAGAAUUAGCCAACAAAAAAGUUUCACAGAAAAGGCCAAUCAAUGAAGGGGAGGCUGAGGAAUUUUGGAGGCAUAUGCAACUAAAAAAUUAUUCAAUUGUCAAACAUUUAGAGAAGACGCCAGCCGAAAUCUCUAUUUUGGAACUAUUAAUGAGUUCACAAUACCACCGCUAAGCUUUAUUUAAGGUCUUGGAUAAAGCAUAUGUUCCCGUAGGAAUGAGUGUUGAGAACCUGGCUUCGAUGAUAGAAAACAUUGUGGGGAAUAAUCGUAUAUCAUUCAGUGAUGAAGAGUUGCCUUUUGAAAGAGCGAUGCAUAACAAAGCCUUGUAUGUCACUGUCAUUUUCCGAGAUUAUACAAUUAAUCAGGUAUUAAUAAAUGACAUAUCUGGUGUGAAUAUUUGUCCCCUCUCCACGUUGUUUCAAAUGGGCUAUGAUUUGGGAAAAAUUCGUCAAAGCCAUAUAAAUUUGAGAGCAUUCAAUGGAGGACAGAGAGAUACCAUAGGAGAAAUUGAUUUGUAUAUCCAAAUGGGACCUGCUGAGUUCAAAACUAAGUUUUAUGUUAUGGAUAUUCGUCGUAGCUACAACCUGCUCUUGGGAAGACCAUGGAUACAUGGUGCAAAGGCGGUUUCAUCACCCCUUCAUCAACUAUUGAAUUUCAUUUAGAAGGAUCAUGAAGUAGUCGUCCAAGGGGAAGGAAGAUGAGUGGAUCGUCCCAAUGGUUUUGUGCCGGUGAUUGAAGAUGUUCCAAAGGGUAGUAGUUUUUAUACGGUUGAAAUUAUAAAUAAUGUGGAGAAGGAUUUGACGCUCAAAGCACCAAUGCCUUCUAUCUAUAAAAUGAUUGCGACAGUGAUGUUAAGAAAUGGAUUUGAGCCUGGUCGGGGUUUGGGUAAGAAUCUACAAGGAAUUAUUGAGCCUGUUAUGAUCCCAGAGAAAUCCUCUAAGUAUGGGUUAGGAUAUCAGCCUACCGAGACGGAUAUGGUUGAGGAUAAGUCAGAGCAGAGUCUGUGUAGGUCCUUUCUUCUCCUGUACCAGUAAUUUUCUAUACGGGAGGUGUCGAAUGAUGAUGUUCUUGAGGAUGGGAUAAGAUAUUUGUUUGAGGGAUGCAAUGAUAUACCAGAAGAUUUCCCAAAGUCCGGCGGGGUGAAGAAGAUUGUGCCAGGGUAGGCCUUGCAAAAAUUAACCUCUACUCCACUCAUAACCCGUCAUUCGUUGUGGUAGAUGAAAGGGAAAUUACAAGUAGUUUUAAAAUCGGUGAUAAUACGGAAGAGGCCCCACGAUCCACCCUUUAUAUCUCAAAACUUUCUUUUUGUAUUUUACUUCUUUAAAAAAUACAUGGACUUGUAUUUGCGCGAGUCAUGAGCCAUGGUUUUGUAAUUAUCUCGUAAAUUUCAUUGAAAAUGCCUUCAUUCAUUUAAAUUUUUUUAUUAUUCCUGAAACAUUCCUAUUCAUAUAUUUUAUUAUUAUCUCAUUAUCAUCUAACUUGGUUUGUUUGUCCAUUACAAUAAUAGUAACUUAAAAUCUGUCAAUGUCAUGUCAUGUCAAAGCUUAGACGAACAAAAUGAAGGGACUAAUGAUGAUUGAAAGAAUGGUGAUGAAGAAUAAUUAGUUGAAGAUAUAGAGGAUUUUAAGAACCGAGAAAAGCCUAACCUAGAGGAAACUAAAAAAUUCAACCUUGGAGAUCAUGAUAAAUCAAAGAAGCAAGUGUCAGCGUCCACCUGGCGGAAGCAUAAAAAGAGAGCUCAUUCACCUGUUGCAGGAAUAUAUUGAUGUAUUUUCUUGGUCCUAUGAUGAUAUACCGGGAUUGAACACCAGUAUUGUGUCGUAUAAGUUGUCAAUAAAUCCAGAGUUUGAUCCAAUCAAGAAAAAAAUACAAAAAUUCAAUCCAGAUUUAAGUCUAAAGAUCAAGUACGAAGUGAAAAAACAAAUCCAGUCUAAGGUUGUGGAGAUCACAAAAUAUCCGACGUGGUUGUUGACUAUAGAGACUUGAAUAGAGCUAGUCCUAAAAAUAAUUUUUUGUUUCCUAACAUCCACAUCCUCAUCGAUAACUGUGUAAAGCAUGAAAUGCAGUCAUUCAUUGAUUGUUUUGCUGGGUAUCAUCAGACAUUGAUGGAUGAGGAAGACGCAGAAAAGAUGGAUUUUAUUACAUCCUGGGGUGAUUAUCAUUAUAGGGUAAUGCCGUUUAGUCUCAAGAAUGUGGGUGCAACAUAUAUGAGGGCUAUGAGGACGAUUUCCCAUGAUAUGAUUCAUAAAGAGAUUGAGGUGUACGUGGAUGAUUUAAUUAUCAAAUCCCGCAAGAGUUUGGAUCAUCUGACUUAUCUGGAGAAAUCCUUCAAUAGAUUAAGAAAGUACAGUCUAAAGUUAAAUCCUGCUAAGUGUGCUUUUGGUGUUCCAUCAGGGAAUUUGCUGGGGUUCAUAGUCAGCAGAAGAGGCAUCGAGUUAGACCCAUCCAAAAUCAAGACAAUCCAGGAGUUGCCACCGCUGAGGACCAAGAAGGAAGUUAUGAGUUUCAUAGGCCAUUUGAAUUAUAAUAGAAGGUUCAUCACUCAAUCGAUAGUCAUAUGCGAGCCAAUUCUUAAGAUGUUGAAGAAAAAUGCAUUGAAUGAGUGGACAGAAGAAUGUCAGAGAGCUUUUGACCGUAUCAAGGAAUAUCUGUCUGCAUCGCCAGUUUUGGUUCCACCAAGAGAAGGAAUUCCAUUAUUUCUUUACCUGUUAGUCUCAAAAAAUGCUUUUGGAUAUGUCCUCGGGCAACAUAAUGAGACCAGUAGGAAAGAGAAAGUCAUUUACUACUUGAGUAAAAAGUUUACGUUAUAUGAAGCCCGUUAUACUCUUGUAGAAAGGACAUGUUGCGCUUUGAGUUGGGCCGCACAAAAGUUGAGGCAUUAUCGAACUUCAUAUAUGACAUGCCUCAUAUAGAGAAUGGAUCUAUUGAGGUAUAUAUUCCAGAAGGCCAUGCCCACAAGAAAGCUAGCCAAGUGGCAAAUUUUGCUGAGCGAGUUUGACAUCAUGUAUGUAACUCAAAAAAAAAUCAAGGGGAAAGCUUUGGCAGAUCAUUUGGCAAAGAAUCCAGUUGAUGAUGAGUAUGAACAACUUCAAACUUACUUCCCAGAUAAGGAAACUCUUUUCGUAGGAGAAGCCAUUUUAGAAAUUUACCCUGGAUGGAGGUUAUUCUUUGAUGGAGCGAUCAAAUUCAAAGGUUCAGAAUCGGAGCAGUGUCGGUCUCAGAAACGGGUCAACAUUAUCCAGUAACUGCUAAGUUACGUUUCCCAUGCACCAACAACAUAGACGAAUAUGAAGCUUGCAUCCUAGGUCUCAAAUUGGCACUUGAUAUGGGUGUUCGUGAAUUGCUAGUCAUUGGGGAUUCAGAUUUGCUGAUUCACCAGGUACGGGGAGAAUGGGCGGUAAAAAAUUCCAAGAUUACUCCUUAUGUUGAGAUAGUAUAGGAAUUAUGUGGAAAAUUUAAAGAAGUUGAUUUCAGACAUAUCCGAAGGAUACAGAAUGAGUUUGCUGACAUUUUGGCCACUAUAUCCUCCAUGAUUUAUCACCCAGAUCAGAGUUACAUUGAUCCUUUAGAAAUAAGCUUGAAGGAAAAACCUGCGCAUUGUGCACACGUUGAAGAGGAGCCUAAUGAAAAGCCAUGGUACUUUGACAUUAAAAGGUAUUUAGAAUCUGAAAUAUAUCCUGAAGAGGACAGCAACAACCAAAAUAAAACAAUCCGGCUUUUGGAUAAAAAACUACUUUCCAAGUAAGGAAUUUACUUUUAGGAAGACGCCUGAUUUAGGAUUUUUAAGAUGCGUCAAUGCUGCGGAAGCUAAUAAAUUGAUAAAAGAAGUACACGCAAGAGUUUGCGAAACCCACGUGAAUAGGUUUGUCCUUGCCAGAAAAAUCCUGAGAACCGGCUACUUCUGGAUGACUAUAGAGAAUGAUUGUAGUAAGUAUGUCCAGAGAUGUCCAAAAUGUCAGACACACAGAGAUUUGAUUCGAAUGCCUCCACACGAGCUUCAUGCAAUGAAUUCACCUUGGCCUUUCGUAGCUUAGGGCAUGGAUGUUAUCAGACCGAUAGAGCCAUCAACAUCGAAUGGGCAUAGAUUUAUUUUGGUUGCCAUUGACUACUUCACUAAGUGGGUCGAAGCUGCAUCAUACAGAGCCAUCACUAAGAAAGUGGUUGCAGAUUUUGUCAGGAAUAACUUGAUUUGCCGAUUCGGAGUGCCAAAAUCAAUCAUUACUGAUAAUGGGGCAAACUUGAACAGUCACUUGAUAAAAGAAAUUUAUGAUCAGCUCAAAAUCGUGUAUCACAACUCGACCGCAUAUCAUCCACAGAUGAAUGGAGUCGUAGAAACUGCCAAUAAGAACAUCAGGAAGAUCUUGAGAUAGAUGGUCGAAAAUGAUAGAUCAUGGCAUAAGAUGUUACCUUAUGCUUUGCUAGGAUAUCGCACAACAGUUUGAACCUUCAUCAGGGCAACUCCCUAUUUACUGGUUUAUGGGAAUAAAGUUGUGACACCUACUGAGGUUGAAAUACCUUCCCUGAGGAUUAUUCAAGAAGUCGGACUAAGUAACAAAGAGUGGGUUCAUGCUCGUUGUGAAAAACUCAUGUUGAUUGAUGAAAAGAGAAUGGUUGCCAAGUGUCAUGGUCAGUUAUAUCAACCCAGGAUGAUUCGUGCUUUCAACAAGAAAGUGAGAGCUAAAACAUUUGAAGUUGGGCAAUUAGUUCUCAAAUGUAUACUCCCUCACUAAGAAGAGUACAAGGGCAAGUUUGCUCCAAAUUGGCAAGGUCCAUACAUAGUUCACAAGAUACUAUCUGGAGGGGCUCUGAUUUUGUCUGAGAUGGAUGUCCAUGAGUGGACCAAACCAAUCAAUUCUGAUACGGUGAAAAGAUACUAUGUUUGAAGGGCAUUCUAGUUUUGUGGUUCUUAGUUUAUCUGUAAUCUCCAUGUAAUAAUGUGUUUUAUGACGUGUAAUUGCCUAAAACACCUUUCCCUUUAUGUACGAACUAUAUUUGACCGGAAUUCCCAAGAAAGGGAUACGUAGGCGGCGUAUGUCGGCUUCAAUCAACCCCUUAGAAAAUUUAUCCUUUCCCUUUAUAUAUGAAUUACGUGAUGACCUGAAUUCCCAAGAAAGGGAUACGUAGGAGGCCUAUGUCAGCUUCGGUCAACCCAUUAAUUUCUUUUGUAUAUUCUUAGCAUAGUCCUGAACUAUGUUUGACAUAAUUCCUGCUUCAAUGGGAUAUGUAGGCUCCCCAACGGCUCGGUCAUAUAACCCCAGGAAAUGAAAACUGGUGCAAAAUUUUUGAGAAGGAAUCUCAAAAAUUCACAAGAGAAGAUCAACAUCCAACAAAGAGAAUGAAGAUCAACAAAGACUUCAGAUCCACUCAAGAUGAUAUCAUCUCAGACUACUUUAAACUGGGGCAAAAAUUUUGAAGGAGGCCUCAAAAUUUCAAUCAAAUACUGGAAUAUAUUUCAGAUUCCCCAGCACUAGAGGUCGAAGCUGAGAUUUAAGAAUAACCACUUGUGAUAAAGUCUAGGAAGACUGAAUCUCCAUCUCUGAUAAAACCUCUGGUAGAGAGUCUCGACAAUGCUGAAUCCUUAGCUACCCUCCAUCAAACGUCGGACAUUGUUAGAAUCAGGAGAAAGAAGGUCGUUGAGCUAGCACAUGACAUAACUGGCAGAGAUUUUUCAAAGUUUUACAGGAGUUCUCGAAACUAUUUUCUAAAAAUUAAGAGUACAUUCAAAAUAUCUAUAUAAAUCUUCUACUUAGUGAUUACCUAGACAUCAAUUAGGACAGAGAGUCAUGGGUGAAAGUUUAAACAUGACAAAAUACCUGAAAGAUGGUGAAGGAAAAAUCAAGGAUCGAAGGAGGUCAACACGGAGUAGUUUUACUCAAACUAAUCAUUUUAUGUGGGCACAGGGACCAAUAGACAAAAAUGAGAGUCUCUUUCAAAAAUCCCCGAGAAAAUUGGAAGCCACACCAGAGCACUAAUGCUCAAGAACGGUAUUUUCGAUUAGCCUUAAAAAUGGGUUUAUUACCCAUAUAUUGAAGACCUUUUGAAGUGUCCAUCUCAUUUCUUGAGAUCAUGGAGGACAAACAAAAGUGUCUUGUCUUCUUUACAAAUAUUGUAUUUAGAUUUUUUCUAAAAAAUAGUCGCUAGCAAAAGCGACUUUGUGUCUACUAAUCGUCUACCUUGAGUACAUAUACAUGCAGAAAGCAAGACCCUGACAAAUCAUUUCAGGUGAAACUAUUUUUAAUUCACCGGAAGAACCAUUGCAUAUCAUUGCCGAAAGGGCCAUUGCAUAUUAUCGCCAAGAGGGCCAUCUUAUACCAUUGCCCAAGAAGGCUAUUGAAUAUCUGUUGACACGCUAGACACAACGUUGGUGUCGAGGAUAUCAUUAGUAUUUAAUAUAUCUAUUGACACGCAAGAUACAACACUGGAGUCGAGGAUAUAAUCAUCAUUUUAUAUCUAUUGACAUACAAGACACAAUGCUAGCAUUGAGGAUAUCAUCAUCAUUUUAUAUCUAUUGACAUUCAAGACACAAUGCUGGCGUUGAGGAUAUCAUCAUCAUUCAAUAUCUGUUGACACGUUAGACAUAACGCUGGCGUCGAGGAUAUCAUUAGCAUUCAAUAUAUCUAUUGACACACAACACAAGACACGAUGCUGGCACCAAAGAUAUUAUCAUUAUUCAAUAUCUGUUGAUACGCUAGACAUAACACUGACAUCGAGGAUAUCAUCAGAAUUCAAUAUAUCUGUUGACACAUAAGACACAAUACUAGCGUCGAGGAUAUCAUCAUUAUUCAAUAUUUGUUGACGCGCUAGAUACAAUGCUGGCGUUGAGGAUAUCAUCAACAUUUAAUAUAUCUUUUGACAUGCAAGAUAUAAUGCUGGCAUCAAGGAUAUCAUCAUCAUUUUAUAUCUAUUGACACGCAAGACAUAAAUGCUGGCGUUGAGAAUAUCUCUUCAUUUUAUGAAUCAGUAUUUGAAUACAUCGAGAGUACAUGAUUUAAAGGGAUGCCUUCAAGUCGCUAUAUAAGGAUAAAUGAUAUAUAAGAUUUCCUAGAAAUUGACAAUUUGAGGGUCAUCUAUAAGUCAUAUUAUUUGAAAUAGAGUAGUGUGCAAGACCACCUAUGAGUUGAUAACCUAUAGGUAAUCCAUAAGCCACAACAACAUCCUAACUGGAUAGUGUCCAAGAUCGCCCAAAAAUUGAUAGUUCAAAGGUUAUCCAUAAGUUGAAACUAAAUCCUUACCGGAGAAUAUGCAAGAUUAUCAAAUUGAUAUGUCCAAGGGUUCUCUAUAAGCCGCGUCAUAUCCAAGAUCGAUUAUGUGCAAGAUUACCUAAAGACUAAUAAUUUGAGAGAUUAUCUGUAAGUCAUAUUGGAUCUAAGGUCGGAUGAUGUGCAGGAACACCUGAAAGCUAGAGAUUGGAGGGAUAUAUGUAAGCCAUAUCUUAUCCAAAGUCAGAUAAUGUGUAGGAUUACCUAAAAUCUAGAAAUUCAAAGGAUAUCUGUAAGUCGCCUCAUAUCCAACGUCAAAUAAUACGCAAGAUUAUCCAAAGAUUGACAAUUUAAGGGAAAUUUAUAAAUCAAUAGUCGGAUAUAACCGAAAAAGUUAUCAUUCUACAUACAACAAGUGAUAUAGGUAACCAAAAGGAUUGCCACACCAACACAAGAUUACACGGUUGUAGGGACCAUUCUGCAUAAAGUGUCGUCGCUGUUUAAAAAGGCCAUCACACUUUGAAGACAUAUUCAAUCAAAAAAUGUCAUAAUUAUACAAUAACCAUGAGGGUUAUUAUGUUUUUUCCUGUUAUUUCAUUCCAAACAGGUACAUAAAGAUAUGACUCCAAUUUUAGGCCACAACUCAUGUGGAGAUAUGGUAAAAGACUACAUAGCUCUUUCAUGAAUUAUGUUUAGCACUAACACUUUCUACUUGAAGAAUUGUCAAGAGCAUCUGAGAUGAUGAAAAUCUCUAAUCAAAACCACAGGUGCAGACGACUUCAGAUAGGACGCAGCAAACGUGAAACUCAUUCUUAGCAGCAAAAUGGAACAUAGUCUAAAGAGGGACGUCAAACUCUUUGUACGUGAGAUAAAGGAUGAUCACCACCACCAUCCAACCACACCCCUGUUAGAAGGCAUGUGGAAAUUCUAGGAUAUUCUGGUUUCAGGUUCAUCUUCGAGAUAUUCCCAAACUCAUACCGAGGGUAAACUUCGCUUUCUUUCAAAUCCGAGUGACAACACACCUAGAGUUUUGGAAAUUAUGUCUAGGUAAAUUCUUGCCUAUGGAUGUGAAGGAUCCACAUUCAUGGUUUUCCACAACUGGUUCAUUAACUUGUCACUCAUCCCGAGCUAAAAAUCAUCUAAAAUAGAAGACUAUACUUUCUACCGAUCAAGUCAAACUAAAAAAAGUCUGAUUCCUUAAAGUAUAGGGUAUAUGUAGGCUAGGAUCUACGUAGAAAACUUGACUGUAUUCCAACCUCCCCCCAAAGCCUUUUAUUCCCCAUCUUCUCGGUUUAUCAAAAGCUCUAAAGUUGUGAUGGUGUAUUUUCUUAAAAAUCAUGCUUAAAAUCAAGAUUUAUGAACUACAAGUGGCCUAAAUUCUCAUACAACCUGAGAUAUAUAGGAAACCUGGUACCUAGGGUUGGCCAUAACUCCAUGAAACUCAUGCGGAAAACAAACCUCGCUUAGAUAUGAAUUUGUGGUCAGAUAAAAAUUAGGAACGUCAACCUCCCUUUGCCCAGGAUUACUUGCAUCCAUCCUACCCAAAGGGAGGGGGCAGUUGUUGACCCCUAAUUUUUACCCUCCACAACUACGUUUAAUCUCGAGUUUCUUUGAUUUUUAAUAAAAUAACAAUAUUUAUUUUAUCAAAUAAAGAAACUUUUCAAAAGUAUUUAUCAGGGUAAUUUCAUUAUUUUAAGUAGCGAUUAUAAAUUAUCGUAUUCAUUUGUACGAAGUUGUAAUGUUGUUACUUAAAUAUCUAUUUUUAUAAAAAUAUCAAAUUUUAAUCAAGGUUAUCUUGAAAUAAAUUAUAAUGACUAAAAUCUUGAUUUAAGUAUAAUUUAUUCUUGAAAAUAACUUAUUUGAUUUUAUCGAAUCAAGAAGCUCGGAGUUAAAUGAGAUAUUAAUCCAUUUCGAAUUUUCAUUUAAUUUGUCCAUAAUUGAAAUCAAAUUGGCCACAAUUGCAAUGCAAUUGGCCAAUUGAUCUUUAAUUUGGCCAAAACUUAAAUGAAUGACCAAAUCCCCAAUUUGGACCCAAUUAGCAAAUCAGUAGCAGCCCAAUUACCCUUCAAUGGAUUAUCACUAACAGCCCAAGCCACACCAGCCCACUUUCAUUAAUAACUCAGCCUAAUUCUAUUCUCCUCUUCAAACAUAAACCAUCAGAAAAAAACAAAAACAUCAAAGACCUUUAUCAAUAAAGGACAACUCUUCUCAACCAUCGCAAUAGUGCCAACGUUAGCCCAAUAAUCUGACCAUACCUGCGAACCCAACUAACCCGUCUCUCUCUUUAACUCAACCCAUCGAUUAAGCCAUUUUCUUUGAUGAGAGUUCUAAAAAGUGGACACCUAAUGUACCACAACGGCUCAAAUCCAUGAAUCUCAGUAACAAUAGUACGAUUUCAUAGAUGUAUGUCAUAAUUUUACUGGCACUUGGCAGAAAUUCAUUUUUCCUAAAUCUUAUUAGUCCAUCAAUUUUAAAAUUGGUACAAUCGGUAUAAUUUAUUGGGGGUAAUCCAGUUUUGAAAGAUUUUGAAUUCUUUUUUUUUAAGUUCCUAACCUACCCCUAAUUCAUCUUCUAUAUAAAGACCCAUUUGGGUUACUAUUAGGGGAUUGUUUUUGGAGGGGGAAAAUUGGAGGGUUUUUGAAAAUCUAAGGUUGGAGAAUUAGGGUUCAAAAUUUUUAGGGCUCAUGAAGGAGGUUUCAAAAUUCUAGGGUUGGAAAAUUUGAGUGCAAAAAAUUUUUUCUAAGAAAAUCUAGGUUCGAAAAGAGAGGGAAAACGGGCCUCCUGAAAGAGGAACUUUUAUUUAACAAAAAUUUUAGGAAGAAGAGGUCAGCUAGUUGAAAUUUACGUAAUGGCAUCGAACUUUCCGGUGGUGGUGGAGUUAGACGUCAGUUCGUAGUCCUAUUUUCUGCUCUCGAAUAGGUAAUGCCCUUUUUCGUUCAAACUUCGAUCUCUUCUACUUCAUCUCGAUCUUCUGUAGUCAUGAAUAAAUUUUUAGUAUGAUUGUAUGCUGGGUUGUUUGCUGAUAGAUGGCUUCGAUAGCAGUAGUUAAUUGUUGGUAGAUUUCCGAUUUGAUACUCUCAUUUUGUGUACUGCUUGUGGCUUGAAUAGCUGGUUGACUAGUUAAAGUUUAUUGCUUGGACUAUGUUUAAUAGUCUUAAUCGAAUAUUAUUUUGGUCGUAAUUGUUAUUUGACAGUGUUUUGUCUAUUGUUUCUAUUGGAUGGAAUGUUAAUUAUCGAGCUAGCAGCGCUGCUAGCAGAGCUACCUCUCAAGUUUCUUUAGCUUCUCUAUGCCAAAAAGACAAUGAGCAGGAUCCUAAAGCGUAUCAGAAAGUCCUAGGUUCUUUUAAAGAUUAUUUCGUUCGAAUCUGUCAGAAUAGUGAGGAGGAUUGGAAUAAUAGUCAUCCUUGCUGUAGUUCUAUAGGGUUGUUGUUAGUCUUAUUUUCCUCGUUUCUAUUUGGACGUGACUGUCUCUAAAUCUUUGAAAUGAAGUUUUAUUUUCCUUGUUGUUGUUAGUCUUGUAUCCCUUAUUUGAAUUGAUUUGAGAAAUAGUUGAAAUCAAUUUAGUCAAUUUGCCUUUGAAGCAAAAAUUUUGUUAAGUCUCUUUGGUUUACAAUGUCUAAGAGGAUUAACCAAAUUGAAAACUCACGAUCUUGUGAAAAUAUAACUAAAGACGAAACACUCAUGACAUAUUUUUGUCUUUGAAAGUUCUUAAUCCGAAUCUACCUGCGGGUAUUGUUUGGUCACAGUGAGUGUUGUUCUCUUUCCUUUUCUUGCUCGUAUGCUUCACUUAGAGAUAUCUUCAAUCUUUACUUUGCUCUAUUUGUUGUAUUACUUUAAAGUUGAUAAUUAUGAUCUGCAAAAAUCGGUUGUGCUGCUGAGAUAUUUGAUAUUCUGCUUUAGUGUUUUAUUUUGUUUCAUCUCAUUUUAAUUUUAUUUUGAUUGUUUUAGUGUUAUAGUUAGUUCCUGUUAAAAUGAUGUCACGGGAAGUUUUGGAAUUCUUGUUGAUUUUUACAGUUAUUACCUUGCUCAAUUUUUUUUCUUUCCUUUUUACUGUAAGACUGUGAACUCUUAUUGGUUGAUUCCCUUGAUUUUCCUUUCUUUUGCUUUGGAUAUUUGUGCUUGUGUCCACUUAUCGAGUAAAUCAUACUUUUGUCAAAUAGUUCUGUGGGUUCUUUGAGUAUUUACAAAAAAGAUUUAUUCAUUUGGUUCAUAAUAUUUGAGCUCUUGUCCACUUGUUGUGUACAUCAUACUUGUGUUAACUAAUUUUGUGGAUUUUUUGUAUGUUCGUUGAAAAAAUUCAGUUUUUCCAUAUUUACUGGUUUAAUUUUUGUGUCUAAAUUGCAAAAAAUGGAGUUUUCC
This 17857-nucleotide long non-coding RNA is filed under the name Capsicum annuum. Its description in RNAcentral is "long non-coding RNA (CANN_LNC015754)". The record is from RNAcentral. Lineage: Eukaryota; Viridiplantae; Streptophyta; Magnoliopsida; Solanales; Solanaceae.